UUAAAAAUCUGAAUUGUCCUUUAUUUCAGCUUAAAUUCAAAUUUUAAAUUUGAAUUUUUCUUUUUUCUGAUCUAGCUUUGGGAGAAAAUAAUCUUUUUGGCCCUCUUCCCUUAUCCCUGCCCGCAAGCUAUACUGAUUCGUUGUCUCAAAUUAUUAGAAGCAGAAGUUCCUCUCUGAACACCAUUAAUAGAAGUUGCUACCUGAUAUAGUUGAAAGACCUAUAUCCACAGAAGAUUCUCAACGGAUCCAUCAGUUCUCAAACCACAGGAUGCCAAAGACUUUCUGUUUGACUUCAAAUUGAAAUGGGAAGUGAUGAAACCCUGUCUCCCAUAUAUUGCACAACCUCAAAGAAUGCCCUCUUCAAAAAGAAUAGGUAAGCAUUCAGAUAGGGUAUUUUUGUAAAUUAAAACUUACUU
This 416-nucleotide long non-coding RNA is filed under the name Phascolarctos cinereus (koala). Its description in RNAcentral is "lncRNA (ENSPCIG00000035591.1)". Lineage: Eukaryota; Metazoa; Chordata; Mammalia; Diprotodontia; Phascolarctidae. The record is from RNAcentral.